RNAcentral lists this transfer RNA (74 nucleotides) under Candidatus Cloacimonadota bacterium. RNAcentral describes it as "tRNA-Gln". It matches the Rfam family "tRNA". From Rfam's summary of the family: Transfer RNA (tRNA) molecules are approximately 80 nucleotides in length. Their secondary structure includes four short double-helical elements and three loops (D, anti-codon, and T loops). Further hydrogen bonds mediate the characteristic L-shaped molecular structure. tRNAs have two regions of fundamental functional importance: the anti-codon, which is responsible for specific mRNA codon recognition, and the 3' end, to which the tRNAs corresponding amino acid is attached (by aminoacyl-tRNA synthetases). tRNAs cope with the degeneracy of the genetic code in two manners: having more than one tRNA (with a specific anti-codon) for a particular amino acid; and 'wobble' base-pairing, i.e. permitting non-standard base-pairing at the 3rd anti-codon position. The record is from RNAcentral. Lineage: Bacteria; Pseudomonadati; Candidatus Cloacimonadota.
UGGGAUGUCGUCUAACGGUAGGACAGCGGACUCUGGAUCCGUAUGUAGGGGUUCAAAUCCUCUCAUCCCAGCCA